Molecule: non-coding RNA, 117 nt
Organism: Deltaproteobacteria bacterium RBG_16_64_85
Lineage: Bacteria; Deltaproteobacteria
Source: Rfam
UUCGGUGGCGAUGGCGGAGAGGAACCACCCGUUCCCAUCCCGAACACGGAAGUUAAGCUCUCCAGCGCCGAUGGUACUGCGGGGCUGCCCCCGUGGGAGAGUAGGUCGCCGCCGAAU